UAGAGUUUGAUCCUGGCUCAGGAUGAACGCUAGCUACAGGCUUAACACAUGCAAGUCGAGGGGCAGCAUUAUCGGAGCUUGCUUUGAUAGAUGGCGACCGGCGCACGGGUGAGUAACGCGUAUCCAACCUUCCCCUUAGUAGAGGAUAGCCCGGCGAAAGUCGGAUUAAUACUCUAUGUUGUAUUUUGAGGACAUCUGACGAAUACCAAAGAUUUAUCGCUAAGGGAUGGGGAUGCGUCUGAUUAGCUUGUCGGCGGGGUAACGGCCCACCGAGGCAACGAUCAGUAGGGGUUCUGAGAGGAAGGUCCCCCACAUUGGUACUGAGACACGGACCAAACUCCUACGGGAGGCAGCAGUGAGGAAUAUUGGUCAAUGGGCGUAGGCCUGAACCAGCCAAGUAGCGUGCAGGAAGACUGCCCUAUGGGUUGUAAACUGCUUUUAUGCGGGAAUAAAGUCAGGUACGCGUACCUGUUUGCAUGUACCGCAUGAAUAAGGACCGGCUAAUUCCGUGCCAGCAGCCGCGGUAAUACGGAAGGUCCGGGCGUUAUCCGGAUUUAUUGGGUUUAAAGGGAGCGCAGGCGGAGGAUUAAGCGUGACGUGAAAUGUCCCGGCUCAACCGUGGAACUGCGUCGCGAACUGGUUUUCUUGAGUGAGUGCGACGUCGGCGGAAUUAUGUGGUGUAGCGGUGAAAUGCUUAGAUAUCACGAAGAACCCCGAUUGCGAAGGCAGCCGACGAGUCCUUAACUGACGCUAAAGCUCGAAAGUGCGGGUAUCGAACAGGAUUAGAUACCCUGGUAGUCCGCACGGUAAACGAUGGAUGCCCGCUGUCUGCGAUACACUGUAGGCGGCCAAGAGAAAUCGUUAAGCAUCCCACCUGGGGAGUACGCCGGCAACGGUGAAACUCAAAGGAAUUGACGGGGGCCCGCACAAGCGGAGGAACAUGUGGUUUAAUUCGAUGAUACGCGAGGAACCUUACCCAGACUCAAAUGCAGAUAGAAUUAUUCAGAGAUGGAUAAGCCCUUCGGGGCUAUUUGCAAGGUGCUGCAUGGUUGUCGUCAGCUCGUGCCGUGAGGUGUCAGGUUAAGUCCUAUAACGAGCGCAACCCUUACGUCCAGUUGCCAGCGGGUAAAGCCGGGGACUCUGGAGGGACUGCCGGCGCAAGCCGAGAGGAAGGUGGGGAUGACGUCAAAUCAGCACGGCCCUUACGUCUGGGGCGACACACGUGCUACAAUGGCCGGUACAGAGGGCAGCGAGCCUGUGAGGGUAAGCGAAUCUCGAAAGCCGGUCUCAGUUCGGAUCGGAGUCUGCAACUCGACUCCGUGAAGUUGGAUUCGCUAGUAAUCGCGCAUCAGCCAUGGCGCGGUGAAUACGUUCCCGGGCCUUGCACUCACCGCCCGUCA
RNAcentral lists this ribosomal RNA (1400 nucleotides) under uncultured bacterium. RNAcentral's name for it is "16S ribosomal RNA". It matches the Rfam family "Bacterial small subunit ribosomal RNA". The record is from RNAcentral.